RNAcentral lists this ribosomal RNA (454 nucleotides) under uncultured bacterium. RNAcentral describes it as "partial 16S ribosomal RNA". It matches the Rfam family "Bacterial small subunit ribosomal RNA", at positions 28 to 507 of the family's 1533-position model. The record is from RNAcentral.
GAUGAACGCUGACAGAAUGCUUAACACAUGCAAGUCUACUUGAACUUCGGUUUGGGUGGCGGACGGGUGAGUAACGCGUAAAGAACUUGCCUCACAGUUAGGGACAACAUUUGGAAACGAAUGCUAAUACCUGAUAUUAUGAUUUUAGGGCAUCCUAAAAUUAUGAAAGCUAUAUGCGCUGUGAGAGAGCUUUGCGUCCCAUUAGCUAGUUGGAGAGGUAACGGCUCACCAAGGCGAUGAUGGGUAGCCGGCCUGAGAGGGUGAACGGCCACAAGGGGACUGAGACACGGCCCUUACUCCUACGGGAGGCAGCAGUGGGGAAUAUUGGACAAUGGACCAAAAGUCUGAUCCAGCAAUUCUGUGCGCACGAUGACGUUUUUCGGAAUGUAAAGUGCUUUCAGUUGGGAAGAAAAAAAUGACGGUACCAACAGAAGAAGUGACGGCUAAAUACGUG